UCUUAGUCGCUUUGUCAACUUAUCAGUCGUUUUGAUCUUAAUCGACUGGGAUUUCUUCAGUCGAUUAGUUAUUUUUUUUAAAGCUUUUUCAUGAUGAAUAACUUAUUUCCUAAAAACUUAUGAGCACAUCUUUGGUAAACACAAUAUUUAAAAGUAAUGCUUUUGCAUUAUUCUUUGUGGAGAAACUCAGUUUUAAAGAUAUAUAACAAACUACAAUUAUAUUGU
This is a long non-coding RNA of Sander lucioperca (pikeperch), 225 nucleotides long. RefSeq lists it as uncharacterized. The transcript is spliced from 3 exons. The record is from RefSeq and is a predicted model, not a curated record. NCBI's taxonomy places the organism in Eukaryota, Metazoa, Chordata, Actinopteri, Perciformes, Percidae.